This 678-nucleotide ribosomal RNA is filed under the name Exidiopsis sp. RJB11821. RNAcentral's name for it is "eukaryotic LSU rRNA". It matches the Rfam family "Eukaryotic large subunit ribosomal RNA", at positions 1 to 661 of the family's 3401-position model. Lineage: Eukaryota; Fungi; Basidiomycota; Agaricomycetes; Auriculariales; Exidiaceae. The record is from RNAcentral.
CUUUGGCCUCAAAUCAGGUAGGACUACCCGCUGAACUUAAGCAUAUCAAUAAGCGGAGGAAAAGAAACUAACAAGGAUUCCCCUAGUAACGGCGAGUGAAGCGGGAAGAGCUCAAAUUUGAAAUCUGGCGGUCUGCGGCCGUCCGAGUUGUAAUCUAGAGAGGUGUUUUCCGUGCCGGACCGCGUACAAGUCCCUUGGAACAGGGCGUCAUAGAGGGUGAGAAUCCCGUCCGUGACGCGGACUACCGGUGCUCUGUGAUACACCUUCAAAGAGUCGAGUUGUUUGGGAAUGCAGCUCAAAACGGGUGGUAAAUUCCAUCUAAAGCUAAAUACGGGCGAGAGACCGAUAGCGAACAAGUACCGUGAGGGAAAGAUGAAAAGAACUUUGGAAAGAGAGUUAAACAGUACGUGAAAUUGUUGAAAGGGAAACGCUUGAAGUCAGUCGCGUCUGCCAGGACUCAGCCUUGCUUCUGCUUGGUGCAUUUCCUGAUGGAUGGGCCAGCAUCGAUUUUGGACGCCGGAAAAGGGCGGGAGGAAUGUGGCAGCUUGCUGUGUUAUAGCCUCCCGUCGUACACGGUGACUGGGAUCGAGGACUGCAGCACGCCUUUUGGUCGGGGUUCGCCCACGCCACGUGCUUAGGAUGCUGGCGUAAUGGCUUUAAACGACCCGUCUUGAAACA